CCAAACAAAAGUCCAUGAGUCUCUUAUCCAAUUAACCACCAAAAAGCCAGAAGUGGCGAUGUGGUUCAAGCGGUUGAAUGCUAGCCUUUAGUGAAAAAGCUCAGGGACAGUGCCCGGG
Molecule: long non-coding RNA, 118 nt
Organism: Dipodomys spectabilis (banner-tailed kangaroo rat)
Lineage: Eukaryota; Metazoa; Chordata; Mammalia; Rodentia; Heteromyidae
Exons: 3
Source: RefSeq, a predicted model, not a curated record